UGGGGAAUAUUGGGCAAUGGGGGCAACCCUGACCCAGCGACGCCGCGUGGGUGAAGAAAUCCCUCGGGAUGUAAAGCCCUGUUGUAUGGGAAGAGCAGAAGACGGUACCAUAGGAGGAAGCCCCGGCAAACUACGUGCCAGCAGCCGCGGUAAUACGGAGGGGGCAAGCGUUGUCCGGAAUUACUGGGCGUAAAGCGCACGCAGGCGGAAUUAUAAGUCGGUAGUCAAAUACGGAGGCUCAACUUCCGUCGA
RNAcentral lists this ribosomal RNA (252 nucleotides) under uncultured prokaryote. Its description in RNAcentral is "partial 16S ribosomal RNA". It matches the Rfam family "Bacterial small subunit ribosomal RNA", at positions 355 to 623 of the family's 1533-position model. The record is from RNAcentral.